CCUACGGGAGACAGCAGUGGGGAAUAUUGGGCAAUGUGCGCAAGCCUGACCCAGCACCGCCGCGUGAAGGAAGAAGGCUUUCGGGUUGUAAACUUCUUUUCUCAGGGACGAAGCACGUGACGGUCCCUGAAGAACACGCAUCGGCUAAAUCCGUGCCUGCAGCCGCUGUACUACGGAGGAUGCGAGCGUUAUCCGGAUUUAUUGGGUGUAACGGGUGCGUAGGCGGAAUGCCAAGUCAGCGGUAAAAUCGCGGGGCUCAACCUCGCUCCGCCGUUGAAACUGGCGUUCUUGAGUGGGCGAGAAGUAUGCGGGAUGCGGGGUGUAGCGGUGAAAUGCAGAGAUAUCACGCAGAACUCCGAUUGCGAAGGCAGCAUACCGGAGCCCAACUGACGCUGAAGCACGAAAGCGUGGGUAUCGAACAGGAUUAGAUAACCUUGUAGUC
Molecule: ribosomal RNA, 442 nt
Filed under: uncultured bacterium
Lineage: Bacteria
Description: partial 16S ribosomal RNA
Rfam family: Bacterial small subunit ribosomal RNA
Source: RNAcentral